AAUGAAAAGUAGAGACAAAUAAUAAAAGAGGAAAGGCAAAAAGGGGAAACAUAUUUUUAGAGGAAAGAGGAAUAUCAGUGUCUUGUGGAAGACAAAUAGAAAGUGUCACAGUGAGACAGAAAACACUUGCUGUAGCAUUAGAGUUAGACCCCAGGGGGCACGUGCUGGGGUGGGUGUGGGGAGGCUCUGUACUUUAAAGCAGUGUCAUCAUUCUGUGCAAUAUGGAUCUCUGAGGAGGUCUAGUAGGCACAGCAUGUGGUAGGAAACCUGUUAACGUCUCCAAGAAAAACAGAAUAGGAAAGUGGUCUUUAGGCUAGAAGAGGUGGACCAAACACAGUAAAGAAAACAGCUCAAGACGGGGCUGAGGGCCCCACAGGAUCGUGGGCUGAGCCUUAUGCUGUGCUGAGGUGCAGGAUCCGAGAAAUAAAGAGACAGAACACAGAAGUACAAGAAAAAUGCAGCUGGGCUCGGGGGGCCACGCCACCUAUAAGCGGAGUCAGAUUCUGGAAGCCAGGUUAUCACAGGACCUUUCCAAUCUGGCUGAGCUGACCCCAGAAAGUGACUGGUGAAGCCAUACAUGUGUUUUAGUCUUUUAAGACUGCUUGAGCCACUGGCAGCAUCUCAUAGCUCAAAAUACUUAGAUUUUACAAGGUAACAAAGAAAAUAAGAUUCUUAAAUUUUACACACUAAAUGUAUACCAAAUAUUAGAGAGCCUAUAUGCUGCUUUCUCUCAGUGAUGCUUCCAUAUCACAUUUUCAGACUGAUUUAUCUCCUUGCUGGAUCCACUAGAGCUAUUCCUUUUGUUCUUUUGACUUAAAAUGUACUUACC
Callithrix jacchus (white-tufted-ear marmoset) is the source of this 829-nucleotide long non-coding RNA. RefSeq lists it as uncharacterized. The record is from RefSeq and is a predicted model, not a curated record. NCBI's taxonomy places the organism in Eukaryota, Metazoa, Chordata, Mammalia, Primates, Cebidae.